This is a long non-coding RNA of Papaver somniferum (opium poppy), 1132 nucleotides long. RefSeq lists it as uncharacterized. The transcript is spliced from 4 exons. The record is from RefSeq and is a predicted model, not a curated record. NCBI's taxonomy places the organism in Eukaryota, Viridiplantae, Streptophyta, Magnoliopsida, Ranunculales, Papaveraceae.
UAUAUUUCAAACGGUCUUUUUUUACAAAAUAAUAAUAUUUUAUUCUAAAUUUUAAAAAUUUGAAUUCAAGGAUCCGCUUUCCAUUCAAAGCUCCUUAUAUGUAAUGGCAGUAAUGCUUACUUUCUUUUUAAUCUUUGGAUAAAAUCUGGCAGAAUGUCUAAGAAAAUCAGAAACUGGUCAAUUUUCUUAAGCUUUCUUUCUUUCAAGUUUUGAACUUAAAGGUUUUUUAAUUAUUCUUAAAGUUUUCACGUUUUUCUUUUCUAUGGAUAAGUAGACACUGGUCUCUUUAUCCAUCUUUAAGCUAGAAAUUGGUUAUCAAUUAAGGGUACACAGGAACCGAGCCGGACCGACGGACCGUUCCGGAACCGGUGGAACUGUACCUGGUUUUGUACCGAACCGAGGAACGGGGUACAGGUACCGGUCCUAAAAAUAGGAACCGAGGCUAGGGAGGUACAGGUACACGGUCCUGACCUAGUCCCGUGCCGAACCGUACCAUCUGUACUGAUUAGUUGUAGCCGUCAGAUUUAGGGGAUGAUAGAUCACCGUUGGAUUAAGUGGUGGUAUAUAAGCAAACAUUAUAGGGCUAGGGUUUCUAUUUUCAAUUUCGUUUCUUUUUUUCUUUACGUCUCUCCUCUGUCUCUGAGAAGUAGAAGAAGUGAAGAACUCCGUUGGAUUACUCCUCUGUCUCGUUGAUUGAUAUUGGUUUAUGUCUCAGUUCUUACUAUGAGGGUAAGACAAAGGGAAAAGAAAGGAACUGAACUGGAUUAAGUAUCAAUCAGAUUAUCUAAGGGAGAGGAGAAAGAGAAGGAAAAGGUUAGAGAUUUGUUGUAAAGAGAAGGAAAAGGUAAUCUUGAUUAGUUGCUGAAAUUUGUUAUUGUACUAGAGACAGGCUAAGGAAGCCAAUACAACUUGGUCUUCUAUCUGAUUACAUACCAGAUGAUGAUGUUGAACUUGAAGAAGCGUUACUUGGUCCUAUCAACAAUAAUGCCACCACCACAAGUGUUGCUGACAUGGAUUAGAAGAUCAAGAUUCAAGACUUUGUAUUUGUCAUUGCCACCACUGUCCAGUCAUUGCUACUGCAACACUAGUUGCACUGCUAGUUGUUCUUUUUUCAGAUUUUCUCAUUUUCAAG